GACGGACCGUACGAACGUUAUUCGGAAUUACUGGGCUUAAAGGGUGCGUAGGCGGCUCAGAAAGUUGAAUGUGAAAGCCCUCGGCUUAACCGAGGAAUUGCAUCCAAAACUACUGGGCUUGAGUGAGACAGAGGUGAGCGGAACUCACGGUGGAGCGGUGAAAUGCGUUGAUAUCGUGAGGAACACCGGUGGCGAAAGCGGCUCACUGGGUCUUUGCUGACGCUGAGGCACGAAAGCCAGGGGAGCGAACGGG
This 253-nucleotide ribosomal RNA is filed under the name uncultured bacterium. RNAcentral's name for it is "partial 16S ribosomal RNA". It matches the Rfam family "Bacterial small subunit ribosomal RNA", at positions 524 to 776 of the family's 1533-position model. The record is from RNAcentral.